Molecule: long non-coding RNA, 312 nt
Organism: Jaculus jaculus (lesser Egyptian jerboa)
Lineage: Eukaryota; Metazoa; Chordata; Mammalia; Rodentia; Dipodidae
Exons: 2
Source: RefSeq, a predicted model, not a curated record
UCCUUUCUAGGAACAUGAUGUGUGCUGUGCCCCCUCUUCUGCUCUAUAGGUUCCUGUCCAGGCCAAGACACAAAAGAGCGUGUGUAGCGUGGUUACGUUUCUGUGGCGUUUGAAAACAGGGGGAAACGAACCCCAGUGGCAGAAGUCAGGAGCGAGGUUAUGCCUGGGCUAAACAGAAGCUCACUGGCGUGGAGACUUGUCGACCCCCCCCCCCCCACAGCCCUCCAUCCCCGACACACACACCCAUUUCCUGGACUGUGUGAUCUGAUUUUCUUGCUAUUAAAAAUUCACGGUCCGUGGCUGAGAACAGCA